Molecule: ribosomal RNA, 524 nt
Filed under: uncultured bacterium
Lineage: Bacteria
Description: bacterial SSU rRNA
Rfam family: Bacterial small subunit ribosomal RNA
Source: RNAcentral
AGAGUUUGAUUAGUGGCUCGAGGAUGAACGCUAGCUACAGGCUUAACACAUGCAAGUCGAGGGGCAGCAUGGUCUUAGCUUGCUAAGACUGAUGGCGACCGGCGCACGGGUGAGUAACGCGUAUCCAACCUUCCCCCUGGUAGGGCAUAGCCCGGCGAAAGUCGGAUUAAUACCCUAUGUUAUCCGAAGAGGACAUCUGAUUCGGAUCAAAGAUUUAUCGCCAUGGGAUGGGGAUGCGUCCGAUUAGGUUGACGGCGGGGUGACGGCCCACCGUGCCCGCGAUCGGUAGGGGUUCUGAGAGGAAGGUCCCCCACAUUGGAACUGAGACACGGUCCAAACUCCUACGGGAGGCAGCAGUGAGGAAUAUUGGUCAAUGGGCGUAAGCCUGAACCAGCCAAGUAGCCGUGCGGGACGACGGCCCUAUGGGUUGUAAACCGCUUUUGCAGGGGAAUAAAGUGAGGCACGCGUGCCUUUUUGCAUGUACCCUGAGAAUAAGGACCGGCUAAUUCCGUGCCAGCAGCGGC